Mesocricetus auratus (golden hamster) is the source of this 89-nucleotide microRNA precursor. Lineage: Eukaryota; Metazoa; Chordata; Mammalia; Rodentia; Cricetidae. The record is from Ensembl.
CAGCGCAGACUGGUAUGGCCCAGCCGGCUCUGGGCGGGUAUCUCUUUGAGCGCCUCACCCUUAAGCAUGAUUAGGAGGCCUUGCCUUCC